UCACAGAUCCGGAGGAAAAUCACCGGCAUGAUGGAAGUGUUAAGAACGUGUUACUUCUGUCCUGUUGUGCUUACAGUUUCAUUCUUCAUUCUUCCAGAAAUAGGCCCCUGCCUAGAGCACGUAUCAGGCCUUCUGUAGUUCUCUUUUCUACUUCCCCCGUCUGUGUCCUCUCAGGAGCUUCAAAAGAUCUCCUGGGACAGAAACCCCAACUGGAAACCCCUGGUUAGUGACCUUCUGAAAUGGAGGGAGGCCAGACUCCAACUGAAUAACGCCAGGCUCAUGUCGGAGAAGCAGGAGAAGCAGAUACUGAGCGCAUCCUCUCUGCCAGGCUCUGGACUACGCAACAGAUCACAGUGGCUCUCAUUUCUGGCUCCAAGACUGGCAAGACGGACAUGGAAGCAGACAAGCAAAGCCCCCGCCUUGGCGUUGUGAGGCAGUCCCUCAGCUGUCACGGUGGAGUCUGCCUGCUCCUGGGCCUGGAACGUUCUCUUCCACAUUCUGGGGCUUUCCAGAGAGAUGAGAGGCAUCCCAGUGCUGUCCAAAGGCCGACGAUGGAGCUCCAAUGGGCCCUUCGCGCCCGGUCCUUUCUUCUCCAGUGCUUUGGUUUCAUCUGGUCCAGUCAGCUUCCUGGCUCCCAAAGGCUGAUGUGGUCGGUCCUCUCGCAUGCACGGCACUGCAUCUCUUCCCUGUCUCUUCUCUUCGUGAACUCCUGCACUGCCCCAGGAGCGUCUGAAGCAGGGCCAGGGGUGUCCUCAGCUGGUGGACGGGGCCUCUGUGGCUGUGUCUCAGUGGGCAGAGCCUGGCCAUGGCCAGGCCUUCUAACUUGGCCUGCCCCAUUCUCAAGACCCAGCGUGUAGUCUAUGCCUGAUGUAGAGCCUGGCCUUUAAUUCUCAGAAAACGCAUUUGGCCUCGUGCUUCAUCUUGGUUUUCUGUCUCCCACAAUUAUCUCGCCGGGUGAGGUCGGCUUUAGAUUGAAAGACCAGAGCCAUCUCUGAAAGCCGAAGGAGUGGGCAGAGGUGGAAGGAACGGUGGAAAGGCCCUGGAGGCAGAAGAGAUCAUGAAUGCACACGUAGGCCGCUGCCUCUGCGUGGGCUGCUCUUCCCAGAGUGGGGAAGCUGUAAAUAAUUAGUCACUGCAUUCACAGUGAUCGUUCUAGGCCACCAGUUCUGGUCUUUUCUAGAGAAAAUUUAUCCUGGCCUAGACUGAUGGGGGGAGUCUGCGGUGGUUUCUUUGAAAUGGCAGUCAGGAUGUGGUAGAGGGUUAUCAUGUACGCCAUCAGUACAGACUGUAGCUACUUCUGCCCGAGGGCACUGGGAAAAGCUGCUCAGAAAGACAGCUACCAGGAUGACUCUGCACUUCCUGGGCAGAGACACUAAGGAAGGUUCAUCCAGGCAGAGGGAAGAGUGUGUGCACAGUGACAGAAGCAAAGACAGAGUGCGAUUGCAGAAAUGAGGCUAGGAAGAGACAACUAAUGCUCGAAAUUUAUCUAGAGAGGUUGGGGACUAGGGGAUGUCUCUAAGCUUGGAGGGACCUGUGCUGGCUGGGUUUGUGUGUCAACUUGACACAGACUGGAGUUAUCACAGAGAAAGGAACUUCAGUUAGGGAAGUGCCUCCAUGAGAUCCAGCUGUGGGGCAUUUUCUCAAUUAGUGAUGGGGGGGGCAUUGUGGGUGGUACCACCCUGGGCUGGUAUUCUUGGAUUCUAUAAGAGAACAGGCUGAGUAAGCCAGGGGAAGCAACCAGGAAGAAAUAUUUCUCCAUGGCCUCUGCAUCAGUUCCUGCUUCCUGACGUGCUUGAGUUCCAGUCCUAACUUCCUUUGGUGAUGAACAGCAACAUGAAGGUAUACACUGAAUAAACCCUUUCCUCCCCAA
Long non-coding RNA from Apodemus sylvaticus (European woodmouse), 1870 nucleotides. RefSeq lists it as uncharacterized. NCBI's taxonomy places the organism in Eukaryota, Metazoa, Chordata, Mammalia, Rodentia, Muridae. The transcript has 2 exons. The record is from RefSeq and is a predicted model, not a curated record.